UAUAUGGCAUAUGUAUAUGCCCCAAAAAAAUAGAGAAAAAAAAACAAUAAAAAAAAAUUUUGAUAUCACAAUAAAUGGACACUUUGAUUUUUUUCGAGUGCUUGCGUUUGUUUUUCAUGUUUGUUUUUCUUCUAUGGUUUGGUUUUAAUUUUUUUUGGUUUUGUAGAAUUUUUGUCGCAUUUUGUUGUGAUGCAGCUUUGUUUGUGCUUCUGUUUUGCAAACAAUAAUUGAUAAAGAAAAAGAGAGCCACUUUGUAUUUCUUGUAAUAUUUUUGUUGUGACUGAAAAAAAAGAAAAAUGACUUUGUGUUUUAAAGUUAUUUGUUUCUUUUUUUCGAC
This 337-nucleotide non-coding RNA is filed under the name Foraminifera environmental sample. The record is from RNAcentral. Lineage: Eukaryota; Foraminifera.